This 700-nucleotide ribosomal RNA is filed under the name uncultured bacterium. RNAcentral's name for it is "bacterial SSU rRNA". It matches the Rfam family "Bacterial small subunit ribosomal RNA", at positions 42 to 772 of the family's 1533-position model. The record is from RNAcentral.
UCAGGCCUAACACAUGCAAGUCGAACGAAGGCCCGGAGCUUGCUCCGGUCACCUUAGUGGCGCACGGGUGAGUAACACGUGGGAACCUACCCUCGAGCGGGGGAUAACUUCGGGAAACUGAAGCUAAUACCGCAUACGCCCUUCGGGGGAAAGGCUUCGGCCACUCUUAGAUGGUCCCGCGCCCGAUUAGCUUGUUGGUGAGGUAACGGCUCACCAAGGCGACGAUCGGUAGCUGGUCUGAGAGGAUGAUCAGCCACACUGGGACUGAGACACGGCCCAGACUCCUACGGGAGGCAGCAGUGGGGAAUAUUGGACAAUGGGGGAAACCCUGAUCCAGCCAUGCCGCGUGAGUGAAGAAGGCCCUAGGGUUGUAAAACUCUUUCACCCGCGAAGAUGAUGACGGUAGCGGGAGAAGAAGCCCCGGCUAACUCCGUGCCAGCAGCCGCGGUAAUACGGAGGGGGUUAGCGUUGUUCGGAUUUACUGGGCGUAAAGCGCACGUAGGCGGUCAAUCUAGUUAGACGUGAAAGCCCCAGGCUUAACCUGGGAACUGCGUUUAAUACUGGUUGGCUUGAGUCCGGGAGAGGGUGGUGGAAUUCCCAGUGUAGAGGUGAAAUUCGUAGAUAUUGGGAGGAACACCAGUGGCGAAGGCGGCCACCUGGACCGGUACUGACGCUGAGGUGCGAAAGCGUGGGGAGCAAA